RNAcentral lists this non-coding RNA (26 nucleotides) under Mus musculus (house mouse). Lineage: Eukaryota; Metazoa; Chordata; Mammalia; Rodentia; Muridae. The record is from RNAcentral.
UAGGCUGAUCACUUCAAAGAGGUAUU